Long non-coding RNA from Oncorhynchus tshawytscha (Chinook salmon), 329 nucleotides. Lineage: Eukaryota; Metazoa; Chordata; Actinopteri; Salmoniformes; Salmonidae. The record is from Ensembl.
GUAAACACUGAUACAUUUUGUGUGCAAUUUCUCCUACUGUACAAAUGACUGUUUGUUACCCAGUGUACAAAGAAGGUCAACAAGAAGAACCACUGCACUCCAACACCUUCCCAGAACCAGACCCCUGCCAUCAGUGAAACAGCAAUUGUCAAUGAUCAAGAAUCCUGCCGAACAGAGAGUGUAUGCUCCACCAAGAAGAAACCAAGGAAGCGUUCGCUCAUUUCCAGGAUGUUUUCAGCUAUAGGCAAAACCUUGUCCAGUCCCUUUACUUCCUGCUUUAAAAAGAAGAGCACCUAAUCUAUAUUUCAAAAUAAAUAUUUGAAAUUAAC